Molecule: ribosomal RNA, 460 nt
Filed under: uncultured bacterium
Lineage: Bacteria
Description: partial 16S ribosomal RNA
Rfam family: Bacterial small subunit ribosomal RNA
Source: RNAcentral
CCUACGGGAGGCAGCAGUGAGGAAUAUUGGUCAAUGGACGAGAGUCUGAACCAGCCAAGUAGCGUGAAGGAUGACUGCCCUAUGGGUUGUAAACUUCUUUUAUAAAGGAAUAAAACGAGGCACGUGUGCCUUUUUGCAUGUACUUUAUGAAUAAGGAUCGGCUAACUCCGUGCCAGCAGCCGCGGUAAUACGGAGGAUCCGAGCGUUAUCCGGAUUUAUUGGGUUUAAAGGGAGCGUAGAUGGGUUGUUAAGUCAGUUGUGAAAGUUUGCGGCUCAACCGUAAAAUUGCAAUUGAUACUGGCAGUCUAGAGUACAGUUGAGGUAGGCGGAAUUCGUGGUGUAGCGGUGAAAUGCUUAGAUAUCACGAAGAACCCCGAUUGCGAAGGCAGCUUACUAAACUGUGACUGACAUUGAUGCUCGAAAGUGUGGGUAUCAAACAGGAUUAGAUACCCGUGUAGUC